RNAcentral lists this small RNA (29 nucleotides) under Bombyx mori (domestic silkworm). RNAcentral describes it as "piRNA piR-bmo-1572314". Lineage: Eukaryota; Metazoa; Arthropoda; Insecta; Lepidoptera; Bombycidae. The record is from RNAcentral.
UACUCUGGGGUGAUGUUAAAUGUAAAAUU